Molecule: ribosomal RNA, 2046 nt
Filed under: Diptera sp. SLW-2008
Lineage: Eukaryota; Metazoa; Arthropoda; Insecta; Diptera
Description: SSU rRNA
Rfam family: Eukaryotic small subunit ribosomal RNA
Source: RNAcentral
UCUGGUUGAAUCCUGCCAGUAGUCAUAUGCUUGUCUCAAGGAUUAAGCCAUGCAUAUCUCAGUACGAGCCGCGUUAAGGUGAAACCGCGAAAGGCUCAUUAUAUUAGUUAUGGUUCCUUAGAUCGUACCACGUCUACUUGGAUAACUGUGGUAAUUCUAGAGCUAAUAUAUGCGAACAGAGUUCCGACCAGAGAUGGGAGGAAUGCUUUUAUUAGAUCAAAACCGAUCGGUCAGCGCGCGUACAGCGCGCCGUCCGAGCGGUGGCGCGCGCGCGCGCGCCCGUCGCCGGGCGUACGCGCCCUCGCGCGCUCCGAACACGUUUGGUAACUCUGAAUAACUUCGUGCUGAUCGCACGGUCUCGUACCGGCGACGCAUCUUUCAAAUGUCUGCCUUAUCAACUGUCGAUGCUAGGUUCUGCGCCUACCAUGGCCGUAACGGGUAACGGGGAAUCAGGGUUCAAUUCCGGAGAGGGAGCCUGAGAAACGGCUACCACAUCCAAGGAAGGCAGCAGGCGCGCAAAUUACCCACUCCCGGCACGGGGUGAUAGUGACGAAAAAUAACGAUACGGGACUCAUCCGAGGCCUCGUAAUCGGAAUGAGAACACUUUAAAUCCUUUAACGAGUAUCCAUUGGAGGGCAAGUCUGGUGCCAGCCGCCGCGGUAAUUCCAGCUCCAAUAGCGUAUAUUAAAGUUGUUGCGGUUAAAACGUUCGUAGUUGAACUUGUGUUCCGCACGGGCAGUACCAAACAACUGGUAAAACAGUAGUGGUACCUUGUCUUACUUCCUGUCUUCGGAUUGGGAAAUGUGCGUGGACGUAUUAUCGGCGUGUUCGCUCUAGCAGCGUUCACAUCAGCCCAUCGCAGUGCUCUUAAACAAGUGUUGCUGUGGGCCGAUACAAAUUACUUUGAACAAAUUAGAGUGCUUAAAGCAGGCUUGUAAUGCCUGAAUAUUUUGUGCAUGGAAUAAUGGAAUAGGACAUCUGUUCUACUUUCAUUGGUUUUUUAGACCAAGAUGUAAUGAUUAAUGGAAGCAGUUGGGGGCAUUAGUAUUACAACGCGAGAGGUGAAAUUCUUAGACCGUUGUAAGACUAACUAAAGCGAAAGCAUUUGCCAAAGAUGUUUUCAUUUAAUCAAGAACGAAAGUUAGAGGUUNGAAGGCGAUCAGAUACCGCCCUAGUUCUAACCAUAAACGAUGCCAGCUAGCAAUUGGAUGUAGCUACUUCUAUGGCUCAUUCAGUCGCUUCUCGGGAAACCAAAGCUUUUGGGCUCCGGGGGAAGAAUGGUUGCAAAGCUGAAACUUAAAGGAAUUGACGGAAGGGCACCACCAGGAGUGGAGCCUGCGGCUUAAUUUGACUCAACACGGGAAAACUUACCAGGUCCGAACAUAAAUGAGUAAGACAGAUUGAUAGCUCUUUCUCGAAUCUAUGGGUGGUGGUGCAUGGCCGUUCUUAGUUCGUGGAGUGAUUUGUCUGGUUAAUUCCGAUAACGAACGAGACUCAAAUAUAUUAAAUAGAUGCAUACAGGACUAUGACAUUGAAGCUUUGCAUACCCGUUUGUUUUUGGGGGCUUCGGUUCUCAUUAGCAAAAUGUGGUUGUGUAGGUGGAGUCAUACCUGUUUGUUUGUCUAAUAUCAAAUAGACACUUAGCUUCUUAAAUGGACAAAUUGUGUCUAACAAUAUGAGAUUGAGCAAUAACAGGUCUGUGAUGCCCUUAGAUGUCCUGGGCUGCACGCGCGCUACAAUGAAGGUAUCAACGUGUAUUUCCUAGGCCGAGAGGUCCGGGUAAACCGCUGAACCACCUUCUUGCUUGGGAUUGUGAACUGAAACUGUUCACAUGAACCUGGAAUUCCCAGUAAGUGCGAGUCAUUAACUCGCAUUGAUUACGUCCCUGCCCUUUGUACACACCGCCCGUCGCUACUACCGAUUGAAUUGUUUAGUGAGGUCUCCGGACGUGAUCGCUGCGACGCCUCGUUGUGUUGCAGUUGCUUCACAGAAGUUGACCGAACUUGGAAAUUUAGAGGAAGUAAAAGUCGUAACAAGGUUUCCGUA